RNAcentral lists this ribosomal RNA (512 nucleotides) under uncultured Glomus. Its description in RNAcentral is "SSU rRNA". It matches the Rfam family "Eukaryotic small subunit ribosomal RNA", at positions 569 to 1081 of the family's 1831-position model. The record is from RNAcentral. Lineage: Eukaryota; Fungi; Glomeromycota; Glomeromycetes; Glomerales; Glomeraceae.
AGCAGCCGCGGUAAUUCCAGCUCCAAUAGCGUAUAUUAAAGUUGUUGCAGUUAAAAAGCUCGUAGUUGAAUUUCGGGAUCAGUAGGUCGGUCGUGCCACUGGUAUGAACUGGUCUCACUGGUUCCUCCCUCUUGACGAACUGCAAUGCUAUUAAUUUAGUGUAGUAGGAAAUCAGGACUGUUACUUUGAAAAAAUUAGAGUGUUUAAAGCAGGCUUUGGCUUGAAUAUAUUAGCAUGGAAUAAUGAAAUAGGACGUUCGAUCCUAUUUUGUUGGCUUCUAGGAUUGACGUAAUGAUUAAUAGGGACAGUUGGGGGCAUUAGUAUUCAAUUGUCAGAGGUGAAAUUCUUGGAUUUAUUGAAGACUAACUACUGCGAAAGCAUUUGCCAAGGAUGUUUUCAUUAAUCAAGAACGAAAGUUAGGGGAUCGAAGACGAUCAGAUACCGUCGUAGUCUUAACCAUAAACUAUGCCGACUAGGGAUCGGAUGAUGUUAAUUUUUUAAUGUACUCAUUC